This 429-nucleotide ribosomal RNA is filed under the name Gemmatimonadota bacterium. RNAcentral's name for it is "Gemmatimonadetes bacterium partial 16S ribosomal RNA". It matches the Rfam family "Bacterial small subunit ribosomal RNA", at positions 355 to 776 of the family's 1533-position model. The record is from RNAcentral. Lineage: Bacteria; Pseudomonadati; Gemmatimonadota.
UAGGGAAUCUUCGGCAAUGGACGAAAGUCUGACCGAGCAACGCCGCGUGAGUGAAGAAGGUUUUCGGAUCGUAAAACUCUGUUGUUAGAGAAGAACAAGGACGUUAGUAACUGAACGUCCCCUGACGGUAUCUAACCAGAAAGCCACGGCUAACUACGUGCCAGCAGCCGCGGUAAUACGUAGGUGGCAAGCGUUGUACGGAUUUAUUGGGCGUAAAGCGAGCGCAGGCGGUUUCUUAAGUCUGAUGUGAAAGCCCCCGGCUCAACCGGGGAGGGUCAUUGGAAACUGGGAGACUUGAGUGCAGAAGAGGAGAGUUGAAUUCCAUGUGUAGCGGUGAAAUGCGUAGAUAUAUGGAGGAACACCAGUGGCGAAGGCGGCUCUCUGGUCUGUAACUGACGCUGAGGCUCGAAAGCGUGGGGAGCAAACAGG